GCCAGCAUGGUGUAGUGGUUUGAGCAUUAGACUAGGACACUAGGAGACCAGGGUUUGAAUCCCGGUUCAGCCA
Molecule: non-coding RNA, 73 nt
Organism: Phrynosoma platyrhinos (Desert horned lizard)
Lineage: Eukaryota; Metazoa; Chordata; Lepidosauria; Squamata; Phrynosomatidae
Source: the annotation of a GenBank genome assembly